This 77-nucleotide transfer RNA is filed under the name Patescibacteria group bacterium. RNAcentral's name for it is "tRNA-Ala". It matches the Rfam family "tRNA". Rfam says of the family: Transfer RNA (tRNA) molecules are approximately 80 nucleotides in length. Their secondary structure includes four short double-helical elements and three loops (D, anti-codon, and T loops). Further hydrogen bonds mediate the characteristic L-shaped molecular structure. tRNAs have two regions of fundamental functional importance: the anti-codon, which is responsible for specific mRNA codon recognition, and the 3' end, to which the tRNAs corresponding amino acid is attached (by aminoacyl-tRNA synthetases). tRNAs cope with the degeneracy of the genetic code in two manners: having more than one tRNA (with a specific anti-codon) for a particular amino acid; and 'wobble' base-pairing, i.e. permitting non-standard base-pairing at the 3rd anti-codon position. The record is from RNAcentral.
GGGCCCGUAGUUCAGCUGGUUAGAAUGCCUGCUUUGCAAGCAGGAGGUCGGGAGUUCGAAUCUCCCCGGGUCCACCA